UACACCAAGGUGUCGAUUAUGAGGGAGAAUCGAACAUGGGAUUAUGUACCAAAAGAAACCUUAUCUUUCAAUGACGAGGAUGUAGAAGGGAUUGUACAAACUCAUAAUGAUGCACCAGUAAUAUAUAUACUUGUGAAUGAGAUUAAAUUUAAAUAUGUUUUAAUUGAUCCAGGUAGCUCGGCCAACAUCAUUCGAUCAAGGGUCGUAGAACCAUUCGGCCUGCAUGAUCAGGUUGAGCCGCAACUUGAGUGCUAAACGGCUUCAACAUGGCAUGUGAAACCACCAAAGGCAAAAUAACUUUGCCAGUAAACAUGGCUGGGACCAUCCAAGAAUCAAAGUUCCAUGUGAUCGAGGGUUAUACGAGGUACAAUACACUACUCGAAGACCGUGGAUCCACAACAUAAGGGCAAUGGCAUCGACCCAUCACAAGGUCCUAAAGUUCCCAAAACCAGAGUGAGUCAAAACAAUCUAUUGGAAGCAACCCGCCACCAAAGAAAUGUUUGCCUUCGACGAAGUGAUACCGAUAUCGACUAUCUCAUCAAUGAAGGAUUCAAAUUCGAAGGGAAAAUAAUAGGUCAAAUAGCAACCACAAACAUCAGCCUUGGCCCAAUCGGAGAAGCAGGGGAAUGAUGAAGAUGAUGAUCACAUGGUUCCUCGAUACUUCAUAAUACCCGAUGAUUUCGAUGCCAAAAAAUCAAUGGUCAAAGAGCUGGAAAAAUCAAGUAGAUCGAGCACCUACCCUAUCGAAUGGCAUACCUGGGCACGGGGCUAACUCCCGAGCUCAGGAAAAAAACCUAUUCAACUCUUUAUAACUAAUAUGUAUUAUUUUUCUUGGCCCCAUCUCGAUAUGACAAGGAUCCCACUAGAGAUCACUUCUCUUAAAUUGAGCUUGGACCCAAAGAUUCACCCUGUGAAACAAAACAAGAGACCUCAGUCCGAGAUCAAAUAGAAUUUCAUCAAAGACGAGGUAAUCAAAAUUCUCAAAAUAGAGUCUAUCCAAGAAGUAAAUAUCCAGAAUGGUUAGCGAAUAUUUUAGUAGUCCCUAAGAAGCGAAGCAAGCUUAGAAUAUGUGUACACUACAAAGACCUAAUAAAGCAUGCCCUAAGGAGUCUUUUCCUUUGCCUAACAUCGAUCACAUGAUCGAUACCACGGCCGGCCAUGAGAUCCUCAGUUUUCUUGACGCCUAUUCCGGGUAACACAAAAUACAGAUGAACCCAAAUGACUAGGAAAAAACAUUAUUCAUCAGUAACUAUGGUACCUACUGCUAUAAUGGAAUGUCGUUCAGACUAAGAAGUGUUAGUGCAACCUAUCAACGCCUAGUAAACCAAAUGUUAGAAAACCAAAUAGGGAAAUCUAUGGAAUUUUAUAUUGAUGACAUGCUAGUUAAGCUCCUAUGAGCAGAGGACCAUUUGAAACAUUUGCAGGAAACUUUCAGUAUACUAAAGAAAUACAUGAUGAAUCUCAAACAAAAAAAAGUGCAUUCGGAGACGGGUCCAGCAAGUUUUUUGGAUUCAUUCUGUCGAAUCAGGGAAUCGAGAUCAACCCCAAUAAGAUCCAGGCUAUCGAUGAUAUCACGAUAAUAGAUAAUGUGAAGGCUGUACAAAGGCUAGCCGGGCACAUUGUAGGCCUUGGUCGAUUCAUCUCGAGAUUGUUCGAUAGAAGUUAUCUGUUCUUCUCAUUGCUGAGAAAGUAGAACAACUUCACAUGGACCCCUGAAUGCCAACAAGCUUUAGAAGAAAUUAAAUGGUACUUGUCGAGCCCACCGCUUCUUCACACAUCGAAGGCAAACAAAUAUGUUUACAUAUAUCAGGCAUUAUUGGAGAUAGAGGUAAGUGGAGUCCUAGUACGAGAAGAACAAGGCACACAAUUUCCUAUUUAUUAUGUUAGUUGGACCCUAGGUGAGGCCGAAACUAGGUAACCUCGUCUAGAAAAAUUGGCGCUCGCUUUGAUAAGCGCCUCUAGGAAAUUAAAACCAUACUUUCAAUGCCAUCUCAUAUGUGUUGUAGCAACUUAUCCUCUUCGAAACAUUUUGCAUAAGCCCAAACUUUCGGAGCGAUUGUCCAAAUGGGUCAUAGAAAUCAGCGGGCACAAGAUUUAAUAUUGUCCCCACCAGGUUCGCCCUCCGUGAACCAUCAUGACAUCACCUAGUCUCUAUGACAAGGUAAGCGUAACAAUGUGGAAAUGAAACCAUGAUUGCAAAAGAAGUAAUUAAAACUGAACUAGUAAAGUAAAAUAGUACUUACGGUACCGCUCGGCACUUGUAAUUAACAUCUCUAGAAACUAAUAACAUUUCCAAAACCCAGAAUCUCACAAAUCACAAGCUAAGGGAUACAUAAGAAGCUCUAACUCAAGAAACAUCUAAACAAAGGAAAGAUACUGAACGGGCUAUACUUAUUAUAGAAAGAUAGAGAGGGACUCUUCGGUCUGCGGACGUAGCAGAUAUACCUCGAAGUCUAUAGAGAAAUGCCUCCUUCCAAGGCUGAGAAAACUGAGUGGGGGUACCUGGACCUACAAAACCAAAAUGUGCAAAAGAGUAGCAUGAGCAAACCAUAACGGUGCCUAGUAAGUAUCAAGACUAACCUCGGUAGAGUAGUGACAAGGAACAGUCAAGACACCUAUCGGUCAAACAAAAAAAAUUAUGAGGGCAAUGGAACAUGAUAUAUAUAUGUAUGUAUAUAUGAUAAGACUGUACGAAAUGACCAAUAAUGCUACAAUCACAAUGGGGGAAGAAACAAUAAGUAACACGAGAAUAUAAAGAAUGAUGACACAUAAUCACGACAAGAUAUAAUCCAAACCCUAAGAUCAUAAUAAAGAAAAGGAAACACAAACAAUAACUCGGGUCCUACGGUAGUGUCCAAAUCAGGUCUUAUUUAACAAUUUCCACAAAUUUUCCAAAUCUUUGACAAAUCACAACUCACUUGUACCGUCAUCCGAAAUCUACACUUCGCAUCCUGUGCCUCCAUCAAGCUUACGGUCAUAUUGUCAACUAACUGGCUAACUAGGGCCACUCUCCCAUAUAAAAUGAUGAAAUAAGGACGUGCCUCUAUGCCUAGAAAAAUCAGGGAACUUCACCUGCAAUAGGAGUGUUUCAACUGAGUAUAUACUUUUUACGAGUGCAUUAACAAGAUUUCCACUAGCUAAUAAAGAUAAGAAGAAGAUCGUGCAGCAUACACAAUGUUCCCUCACCACAUCCAGAAGAUAAAUUUCAUACAGGAAGGCAAACCACAAUCAAAAUAUUAAAUAAAAGUAGAAAUGCCUCCACAGGACGUCACCGUCCUAACAUUCAAUCCCUGACAUAGACCUCCUUAUUUCACCACAUGUGCAAUUAAUAACAUAAUAUGUACCGCCUUAUUUCACCACACGUGCAUCAUAAUAUUCCUACCUUAUUUCUCCACAUGUGCAACCCAUAUAUAAGCAUAUAAACAUAUCCAGACUUGUUACGCCGAUGUGCAAGAUAUCAAUAGCAACAGUAGCACGGCAAAUGACAUGGUGCAAGCCCUCAACAGCAAUCGCAUGGCAGAAACCUCGUGCCUCACAAUAUCAAUAACAUCACGACAGAAACCUCGUGCCUCAAAAUAUCAAUAACCGCACGGCAGAAACUUCGUGCCUCACAAUAUCAUUAUCCACACGUCAAACCUCAUGCAUCAACACCCCAAGUAUAACAGCAAUAAAUACAAUAUAUGCAAAAGCACACAAAAUAAGAAUUAACUUAAUGAUCUUUUGUUCACGGGGGACAAUAAGACUAACUCACAAGGAAUAAUCACAAUAGAGAAUACUAAACAUAAUAAGAACAACUUAAUAAGGAAGAAAUUUAUAUGAAGCAACGACCCCAUAGCAUGUAGUUCAACAACAAGGGAAUUAACAAGAGUCAAGUAAUUUCAAAUAAGGAAAUACCAAUUACACAUAAAAUGUCUACUCUUCUUUUAAGAUUGGGCAGGUUACGAAGGAUAUACAACAAUUUCAAUUAAGACUAAAUAAUUGCGUAAGAGAUAAUAAUGAUUUUCAUUGAAAACAAGAAGUUAGGAAAGAUAAGCGACCAUGGAGGAGGUAAAGAUCUUCAGUUAAGUAAGGUAAGAGUCAGGUAGGAAAAUAAGAAUGAACCAUAAGGCAAUUAAUUCCAAGUAAACAUGUAGAGGUGGAACUAGUAAUAGAAAAAUUAGAUCUUAAUUACCUAAGAGAUAACAAUGAUUUCCAAUGAAAAUAAGCAGUUAUGAAAGAUAACGCGGCCAUAGAGGGGGUAAAGAUCUUCAGUUAAGUAAGGUAAGGGUAAAUUAGGCAAUAAAAAUGAACCAUAAAGCAAUUAAUUCCAAGCAAAACAUAUAGAGGUGGAACUAGUAAUAGAAAAAUUCAAUCAUAUCAAAAACAACAUUCAUACUUAGUGAAUAGAAGGACCUAAGAACCUAAAAAGCCAAAUUUUCCCGCAAAUAAAUCUGAGCACGUACUCGUCACCUCGCAUACACAGAAUACAAUUAGCAGAGAAGAGAAGGACCUAAGAACCUAAAAAGCCAAUUUUUCCCACAAAUAAAUCUGAGCACGUACUCGUCACCUCGCAUACACAGAAUACAAUUAGCAGAGAAGACUGCAGUUCUAGAGGAAAGUCCCCCACACAAGGUUAGGUAAGAUACUUACCUCGAACUGGCUCAAAAAUCAACUAGAAAACAUGCCUUUAUCACGAGUAUCUGACUCCAAAUGGCCCCAAAUCUAUUCAAUUCAAUUACAAACCGUAAAUAAUAUCUCAAAAAAUGAUUCCAAAAUUAAACUCUAAGCUAAUAUGCGAACUUAUAUGAAAUGAUAAAAAUGCCCCUCAAGCCAACAUCUUGGUAUCGGAUAAAAAUAAUAUUUUCAGAAAUCUCAUACGCUCACGAUUCUAUACAUAACAAGAACACAAAAAUUGGAGUCCAAAUGACCCCUCAAAUUCUAGAUUAAAAAUUCAAAGUUCCAAGCCCUAGUUCUCCCAUUUUUGUGCAAGUUUCCAAGAAUUUCUAGGUUAAUUUCACAAUAGAAUCACGUUUUAGGUUCAGAAAUAUUACCUCCAACCGAUUCUCCUUGAUACCUUCUUGAGUCUCUCUCAAAAAUCUCUAAAAAUACUCAGCUAUGGAGGAAAAAUCGCUCAAAAUCGAUGAUGAAAUAUUUUAUAAGCUUUAUCCCUAAUCCUGAACUUUCUUCAUCGCGUUCGUGACUACUGCCUCGUGAAUGUGAAGGAAAAAUUGUAAAAACCUCAAAAAACUCUACGACGAACGCGAACCAAACACUGCGAACGCGAUAUAUAAUUUUCCAGACCAAUGCGAAUGCGAGACCAUAAUGCGAACGCGGAGGGUAAUUUCCACUAGACCCCAAUUCCUUAUACGUGAACGCGAGAGGCAAUGAGCGAACGCGAAGCACAAACAUCUGACCUUCCGCGAACGCAGUCCCAUAGAUGCGAACGCGAAGAUAAAAUUGCCUGCCUCCCAAUUCCUUCCUCGCGAACGUGAAGAGAAAUUUAUCUGCAACACCUGAAAUGAAAAAUUACAACUAUUAAACUUAGAAAAUGGUCCAAUUGACUACCCGAAACUCACUUGGGGCCCUCGGGAGCUCAACCAAAAGCACUAACACCUCCCAGAAUCUCAUUCAAACUUUUUCCAAUCAUCGAAACACCUCAAACAAUAUCAAAUCCAUAAAAUCACAUUGAAUUCAAGCCUAAGUUUUCUAAAAACUUCCGAAAUACGCUUUCAAUCAAAACCACAACCAACUCAUGUCCGAAUGACCUAAAAUUUUACACGCACAUCCCUAAUGACAUAACAAAGCUUCAACAAGUCUAGAAAUUCCAUUGUGAACAUCGGUUCAAAUUCUCACUUAUCAACCGGAAUUCGCAAAAUAUUAAUUUUUCCAAUUCUAGCCUAAUUCUACAUCGGACCUCCAAAACAAAUUUCGGUCACGCUCUUAUCCCCGAAAUAACCUAAAAAGCUAACGAAACCCUCAAUUUCCAUUACAAGGUCGUAUUUACACUGUUCCGAGUAUGGACAACUUUCCAACACUAAAGCUCUCAUUUAGUGACUAAGUAUCCCAAAACUCUCCGAAACUCAAAACCGAGCAUCCCAAAAAAUUAAAAAUAGUAGAAAUGAACUUGGGAAAAAUAGUUAACAGGGGAUUGGGAGUUAAUUCUUAAGAGGACCGUCCGGGUCGUUACACCUCCCCCUCUUGAAACUAAUAUUCGUCCUCGAACGUGAUAAGAUUUGCCUCAAAGUCCUCAAGUCACUAAAUGUACACUUCUAACAUACACAUGCGAGUAAUCACAUAACACCGCAAUCCACAUAAGCAUAACGACACCAUCUCAACUGAAAUUUAGCCUUUCCAGCAAUACCGACGAGCCUCAUACCCAUAAUUCUCACCUUCCAUCCAUUUCCAAAAGACCUGAUUCUAAAUUCAUAUCCGGUAUCAGUCUUAAACCGCUACUUCAAUUCAUGCCAGCACCCACAGGGUACAACCACACAACAUGACACAUCACACAUAGGAACAUAAUAACAUUUUUGAUAACAAUAAUUGCCUAAGAUCAAAUCUGCACCGGCCAUAAGCCUCAAAUUCUAUAGGAACAGUUUUCAACCCUCCACAUCAAUGGAGAUGAUAUAACAAAAACAACAACAACAAAAACAACUACCCAGUAUAUUCCCACAAAGUGGGGUCUGGGGAGGGUAAUAUGUAGACGAGCCUNNNNNNNNNNNNNNNNNNNNNNNNNNNNNNNNNNNNNNNNNNNNNNNNNNNNNNNNNNNNNNNNNNNNNNNNNNNNNNNNNNNNNNNNNNNNNNNNNNNNNNNNNNNNNNNNNNNNNNNNNNNNNNNNNNNNNNNNNNNNNNNNNNNNNNNNNNNNNNNNNNNNNNNNNNNNAGGGCAGAGAGGCUGUUUCCAAUCGACCCUCGGCUCAGUGAAGGAAAGGAAAAACAAAAACAAAAACAAAAACAAAAACAAAAGAGCAUUAGUUACUCCAACAAAAUAGCGUAAAUAAUUAUCUAAACAUAAGAACAUAUAUAAAAUAACAUGCAAUAAUAUCAUACAGUAACUAGCAUAAAUAACUACAAUAAGGGAGACACAAUCCAAAACACAAAUCAUCUAUGAAUAGCCCUGCCAAGCCUCACCCAACCCCGGGUGAGUAGGACGUAAAACUCUAGGGGUCCCUAUGCUACAACCCUGAUACUAGACCUCCAGGCUUUACUAUCAAGGGCCAUGUCCUCGGAAACCUGCAUUGUAGCGAUGUCAUGCCUAAUCACCUCUCCCCAAUACCUCUUAGGCUUCCCUCUGCCUCGCCGAACGCCAACCAUCGCCAGCCGUUCAUAACUCCUCACCGGGGCAUUAGGGCUUCUCCUCUGCACAUGCCCGAACCACCUCAGCCUCGGGGUAGCCUUGCCAAGCCUCACCCAACCCCGGGUAAGGAGUGUGAAAAACUCUAGGGGCUCCUAUCCUACAACCCUGAUACUAGACCUCUAGACUUUCCUAUCAAGGGUCAUGUCCUCGGAAANNNNNNNNNNNNNNNNNNNNNNNNNNNNNNNNNNNNNNNNNNNNNNNNNNNNNNNNNNNNNNNNNNNNNNNNNNNNNNNNNNNNNNNNNNNNNNNNNNNNNNNNNNNNNNNNNNNNNNNNNNNNNNNNNNNNNNNNNNNNNNNNNNNNNNNNNNNNNNNNNNNNNGUCCCCCUGAAUCACCGACCCAAGAUAUCUGACACUGUCCCUCUUGGCGAUGACCUGAGAUCCAAUCAUCAUGUCCCUGCCUACUCCGCUCGGCUCGGCGCUAAACUUGCACUCCAGGUAUUCUGUCUUAGAUCUGCUUAUUUUGAAACCCUUAGAAUCAAGAGUCUUUCUCCAUACCUCUAACCUCUCAAUAACGCCGACCCUCGUCUCAUCAAUCAAGACUAUGUCAUCAGCAAAUAGCAUACUCCAAGGCACAUCCCCUUGAAUAUGUCGGGUAAGAGCAUCCAUCACCAAGGCAAAAAAGAGAGGGCUAAGCGCUGAUCCUUGAUGGAGCCCCAUAACCACUGGAAAAUGGUCUGAGUCGCCACCCACCGUCCUAACCCUAGUCUUAGCUCCAUCGUACAUGUCCUUUAUUACUCUGAUGUAGGCUUUCGGCACGCUCGUCGCCUCCAAGCACCUCCAUAGAACCUCCCUUG
RNAcentral lists this long non-coding RNA (8128 nucleotides) under Nicotiana benthamiana. RNAcentral describes it as "long non-coding RNA (NBEN_LNC009067)". Lineage: Eukaryota; Viridiplantae; Streptophyta; Magnoliopsida; Solanales; Solanaceae. The record is from RNAcentral.